RNAcentral lists this ribosomal RNA (117 nucleotides) under uncultured bacterium. RNAcentral describes it as "partial 16S ribosomal RNA". It matches the Rfam family "Bacterial small subunit ribosomal RNA", at positions 1357 to 1482 of the family's 1533-position model. The record is from RNAcentral.
CUACGGUGAAUACGUUCCCGGACCUUGUACACACCGCCCGUCAAGCCAUGGAAGCUGGGUGUACCUAAAGUCGGUAACCGCAAGGAGCCGCCCAGGGUAAAACUAGUAACUGGGGCU